RNAcentral lists this ribosomal RNA (355 nucleotides) under uncultured bacterium. Its description in RNAcentral is "bacterial SSU rRNA". It matches the Rfam family "Bacterial small subunit ribosomal RNA", at positions 280 to 632 of the family's 1533-position model. The record is from RNAcentral.
UGCGUAGGGGUUCUGAGAGGAAGGUCCCCCGCACUGGAACUGAGACACGGUCCAGACUCCUACGGGAGGCAGCAGUGAGGAAUAUUGGUCAAUGGGCGCAAGCCUGAACCAGCCAAGUCGCGUGAGGGAAGACGGCCCUACGGGUUGUAAACCUCUUUUGCCGGGGAGCAAGCCUGAGCACGUGUGCCCAGGCGGAGAAUACCCGGAGAAAAAGCAUCGGCUAACUCCGUGCCAGCAGCCGCGGUAAUACGGAGGAUGCGAGCGUUAUCCGGAUUUAUUGGGUUUAAAGGGUGCGCAGGCGGGCUGUUAAGCCGGCGGUAAAAAUUCAGGGCUCAACCCUGUCGAGCCGUCGGAA